RNAcentral lists this ribosomal RNA (468 nucleotides) under uncultured bacterium. RNAcentral's name for it is "partial 16S ribosomal RNA". It matches the Rfam family "Bacterial small subunit ribosomal RNA", at positions 28 to 507 of the family's 1533-position model. The record is from RNAcentral.
GACGAACGCUGGCGGCGUGCUUAACACAUGCAAGUCGAACGGAAAGGCCCUGCUUUUGUGGGGUGCUCGAGUGGCGAACGGGUGAGUAACACGUGAGUAACCUGCCCUUGACUUUGGGAUAACUUCAGGAAACUGGGGCUAAUACCGGAUAGGAGCUCCUGCUGCAUGGUGGGGGUUGGAAAGUUUCGGCGGUUGGGGAUGGACUCGCGGCUUAUCAGCUUGUUGGUGGGGUAGUGGCUUACCAAGGCUUUGACGGGUAGCCGGCCUGAGAGGGUGACCGGCCACAUUGGGACUGAGAUACGGCCCAGACUCCUACGGGAGGCAGAAGUGGGGAAUAUUGCACAAUGGGCGGAAGCCUGAUGCAGCAACGCCGCGUGCGAGAUGACGGCCUUCGGAUUGUAAACCGCUUUCGCCUGUGACGAAGCGUGAGUGACGGUAAUGGGUAAAGAAGCACCGGAUAACUACGUG